AAGGAGAAUUUAAUAUAUGGAUCUGCACCAUAUGUGAAAGAAGAGCUGAGAAGUUAAAAAGAACACAGGGAGAUAUUCUGGGGAUUAGAAACAACACAAAACAGUCACAACCAUCUGGAAUGGGAGGGAUGCAAGAGGAGGUAGUUACCAUAACUAUAGAGCAGGAAUCAGAAUCACACCUCUGUAGAGACAACUUGACAGAAGCUAGAAUAUCAAAGGAUGGAACUCUCUGGUAGAGGAUAUGUUGGUUUAUGUUACUGAAGAGGCUAAGGGUAAGACCAUUUUCAGUGUGGCUUUAUUUUGUUAAAGCAAUGUGACCAGACCCUGGUUUAUCCUUCUCAACUUUUCUUUCCUGGUUUUGCUUAUGAUUCUUAGGUCAGCUCAAUCUCUUGGCCCCGAAACGGCAGCCAGAAGCUUUUGCAUGCUCUCUUGUUCUUAUACUACAUGGGAAAAGAAAGAGCUUCCAUCAUCAGUCAUUUAAAGAAAAAUUGGACCUCAUUCAGACAGAAACAGCUGAAGACAGCAUAGAGAUGUUCACUAACCAGUCCACGAAUACCCAGCCAGAAGGUGAAAGAGCUGGAAACGGACCUCACACAUUUCAACACCACAGGACUAUUCUUGACAUCUAUGCCAAGUUAUCUAUUGUGAAACUAGUGAAAUAAUUGAAUAAAAGUUAUUCUUGAUUUAAAAAAUCAUCUGGCCUUAUAUUUCAUUUACCACAUCUUGUGGCCAAAUUGUCACUUCCCAAUAUCAGC
RNAcentral lists this long non-coding RNA (755 nucleotides) under Callithrix jacchus (white-tufted-ear marmoset). RNAcentral describes it as "lncRNA (ENSCJAG00000082039.1)". Lineage: Eukaryota; Metazoa; Chordata; Mammalia; Primates; Cebidae. The record is from RNAcentral.